Long non-coding RNA from Lolium perenne, 565 nucleotides. RefSeq lists it as uncharacterized. The record is from RefSeq and is a predicted model, not a curated record. NCBI's taxonomy places the organism in Eukaryota, Viridiplantae, Streptophyta, Magnoliopsida, Poales, Poaceae.
CAGCCCCUCAAAAGGAAAAAAGAAAAGGCAGCCCCUCUCCAUAUUCCGUUUCUCUCCCCGCUGUUCAUUGACCAUGCCGGCGCAGCCGAAGGCCAUGAUGGUGCCGCCAUUUCUUCGUGUGAUUAAUGGCCUAGAAGAGAUUACGGCGGCGGCGAGACGGUGAUGAUGGCCGGUUGAGCGGUGGCGACGGUGGGCGAUGAGGCGGAGGCAUUAGCGGCUCGACGCCGCAUAGGAUGCUGAUGAGGAGAUGGUGGUUGUGUCUCACCAGUGCAAGAGGACGCGGUGGCGGCUCGCUGGUGUAAAGGAGGAGGCGGGGGCUAUCGCUGGGCUAGACUACUCGACUCUCUCGGGCUCAUCUUUCGUUGUUCGUCUGGGUAGCCAGGAUUCAAGGACGAAGAGGAGAUGGUUUGCGCCUUAAUUAACCGCUUCGUACCAGAGGUGAGGAAAAAUAGGACGGCAUCAGUUCCUAGCCACCCGCAGUUACAGCUAGCACACACCUUCAUGAGGAAGAUGGAGUGGUCUGUUUGCUCUGUUUUCUUACUUUUCUAAUAAUGGUUAUACGUUU